UUUGCAUUAAAUUGUAAUUGGAUUUGCAUGGCUGCAUAUCUUUUUUCAGGUUGUUAUGUGGCUUGCAAGAGGAAAAGUAUGCAAUGCAGAUGGAAGAGCAAAUUCAAAUGCCCUGAGGCAGCAGGGUGCCUGUAGUUGUGACAACAGCAAGGGACCAGUGGAGUUGGAGAGAAAGGAGCAAACAAGAGUGUCAUGUCUAAGGGGAAUAUGGUGUUUACAUGGAUUGCAGGCCUUCUUUGGUCAAAAAUUGUUGGAAUUAGGUAACUUAAUUUUACAAAAUUGUGAGCUAGAAAGAUAUUAGGUUGGUGUAAAAGUAAUUGUGGUUUUCGCCAUUCAAAGUAAUGGUAAAGACCACAAUAACUUUCGCACCAACGUAAUAAAAGAUUAUAUUUGAAAACAAGCUUCUAACAAUGAUAAUAGUUGCUGGUAAUGGCAAAUUCUAGCACAUGAUAAACAGCAGACAUAAAGUGGAGAAGACUAUUGGAGGAAAGGAUUUCAAUGUACAAAGAUUGUGUUAGGGCCUGGCUCGGUGGCUCAUGCCUAUAAUCCCAGCAGUUGGGAGGCUGAGGCAGGCAGAUCACUUGAGGUCAGGAGUUCGAGACCAGCAUGGCCAACAUGGGGAAAGCUUGUUUCUACUAAAAAUACAAAAAUUAGCCAGUCGUGGUGGUGCACGCCUGUAAUCCCAGCUACUUGGAUAGCUGAGGCAGGAGAAUCACUUGAACCUGGGAGGUGGAGGUUGCAGUGAGCCGAGAUCAUGCCACCGCACUCCAGCCUGGGUGACAGAGAAAGACUGUUUCAAAAAAAAAAAAAAAAAGAAAAGAAAAGAAAAAAAAAGGAAAAUUAGAAGACUCUCUUCUUUCAGAGACCUAGAAAGUCUUGUUUGAGAGAAUAGUGGUUGGUAUAGUAAAAAGUUAAUCAGGUAAGGGAGAGGGACCCAGAUCCUGUAGAUGACUGUAUCAGGGAGUCCUGCAUGGUACAGUCUUGGGUCUAGACUGGCUGUGAGGAGCAAGGAGCAAGGAGCAAGCCUUUUUACUUUGAGCCUCUCACUUCUAGUGGCAUGAGAAGAAGAAAGAAACUUGAAAGGCUACUUGUGAAGUAGUAUGCUUAGGGAGAGCUAAGUUUGUUUAGAACAAGAAACCAAAUAAAAUACUCACAAAUGAUGGUUUGGGUACAAGGUGUUAGAAGAUAAGGAAAACAAUUAAAAAUAAAUGAUGGUUUGGGGAAUUUUGCUCAUGAGUGACUCUGAGUCAAUGAAAGAUGCUGAAAAGGCAGAGCUCUGUGGUGAUAAAAGUCAGGUAACAGGGAUGACCUGGGAGUCUUAGGGUUCUUGUGAUAUAAGCAGGUUUGAAUCACGUAUCUGAGGUUGGACUGGUGACCCCUAGGCAGCCAGUGGUGCUGAGGUUGUCAGUGCUGUGAGAGGGAAAUGGGAGGGCCCAGGUCUUUCCAGGGAAGGCAAGCAUUCUGGGAUGUCAAUGAUACUGUGCAGGGCCAAUGGUACUGUGCAGGCUGAGGGAGGGGCCAUCAUCUAGAGUAAUAGAUAUUUAAAG
This 1547-nucleotide long non-coding RNA is filed under the name Homo sapiens (human). RNAcentral describes it as "HSALNT0252522". Lineage: Eukaryota; Metazoa; Chordata; Mammalia; Primates; Hominidae. The record is from RNAcentral.